AACGAACGCUGGCGGCAUGCCUAACACAUGCAAGUCGAACGAGACCUUCGGGUCUAGUGGCGCACGGGUGCGUAACGCGUGGGAACCUGCCCUUAGGUUCGGAAUAACUCCCCGAAAGGGGUGCUAAUACCGGAUAAUGUCUUCGGACCAAAGAUUUAUCGUCUUUGGAUGGGCCCGCGUUGGAUUAGCUAGUUGGUAGGGUAAAAGCCUACCAAGGCGACGAUCCAUAGCUGGUCUGAGAGGAUGAUCAGCCACACUGGGACUGAGACACGGCCCAGACUCCUGCGGGAGGCAGCAGUGGGGAAUAUUGGACAAUGGGCGAAAGCCUGAUCCAGCAAUGCCGCGUGAGUGAUGAAGGCCUUAGGGUUGUAAAGCUCUUUUACCCGGGAUGAUAAUGACAGUACCGGGAGAAUAAGCUCCGGCUAACUCCGUG
Molecule: ribosomal RNA, 433 nt
Filed under: uncultured bacterium
Lineage: Bacteria
Description: partial 16S ribosomal RNA
Rfam family: Bacterial small subunit ribosomal RNA
Source: RNAcentral